RNAcentral lists this unclassified non-coding RNA (405 nucleotides) under soil metagenome. RNAcentral describes it as "partial contains 5.8S ribosomal RNA, internal transcribed spacer 2, and large subunit ribosomal RNA". The stretch from base 1 to 122 matches the Rfam family "5.8S ribosomal RNA", at positions 35 to 154 of the family's 154-position model. The record is from RNAcentral.
GAUGAAGAACGUAGCAAAAUGCGAUACUUGGUGUGAAUUGCAGAAUCCCGUGAACCAUCGAGUUUUUGAACGCAAGUUGCGCCCGAAGCCUUUUGGCCGAGGGCACGUCUGCCUGGGCGUCACGCAUCGCGUCGCCCCCCCACAAUUCUCCGUAAAGGGAACAUGUGUUUUGGGGGCGGAUAUUGGUCUCCCGUGCUCAUGGCGUGGUUGGCCGAAAUAGGAGUCCUUUCGAUGGACGCAUGAACUAGUGGUGGUCGUAAAAACCCUCGUCUUUUGUUUCGUGCUGUUGCUCGCAAGGUAAACUCUUUAAAAACCCCAAUGCGUCGUCUCUUGACGACGCUUCGACCGCGACCCCAGGUCAGGCGGGACUACCCGCUGAGUUUAAGCAUAUCAAUAAGCGGAGGA